Triticum aestivum (bread wheat) is the source of this 199-nucleotide non-coding RNA. The record is from Rfam. Lineage: Eukaryota; Viridiplantae; Streptophyta; Magnoliopsida; Poales; Poaceae.
AUACCUUUCUCGGCCUUUUGGCUAAGAUCAAGUGUAGUAUCUGUUCUUAUCAGUUUAAUAUCUGAUUUAUGCAGGCCAUGUGCCUACAACGAUAUUAAAUUUAUUUUCUGUGGGGAAGGGACCACCACAAUGGCUUGCCAUUGGGUCCUCUAGGUGUCGCCCAGUGUGUUGCACUAUUGUUUGGGCAGGCGCACCCCAA